GUGUUGUAUGAAAGGAGAGAAGGUUAGCACUCCCUUUGACAAGGAUAGAAGAGACCCUUGGGCCUUACAACAUGCAUAUGGUUAAGGCAUUGACACUUACUUUGUGGCAUCUAACCACUGUUUUUC
This is a small nuclear RNA of Jaculus jaculus (lesser Egyptian jerboa), 126 nucleotides long. Lineage: Eukaryota; Metazoa; Chordata; Mammalia; Rodentia; Dipodidae. The record is from Ensembl.